RNAcentral lists this ribosomal RNA (963 nucleotides) under Triticum aestivum (bread wheat). RNAcentral describes it as "partial small subunit ribosomal RNA". Lineage: Eukaryota; Viridiplantae; Streptophyta; Magnoliopsida; Poales; Poaceae. The record is from RNAcentral.
AUGAAAACAGGAGAAACAUAUGCCAUUGAGUUUGUCAGUGAAACCGGCAAGCCCCUACAGCACACCUCAAAGUUUAUCAACCAAUGCGGAGUCGUUGUUAGAGACAACGUCCCGAUCACCGUCCAGGAAUGGAAGGAGCCAAAGAAGGCACGUAUUGGUUUCAGUUUUGUCGACAAGAGAACGAAAAAGGAUUGCUGGAGAAAGCUUAUGGAACAUUUCAUUCUACCUCCAAAAUACAACAAAGUCGAUGAAUUCGGUAACGAGGUUCCGGGUGGACGUCAGAGGAGGAGGCUAGUUAAAGAGUUCGCUCUUCAGAAGAUGGGCGAAGCAUUCCGGAACUUCAAGAAAAAUUUAACCCGUGACUAUGUCAACAAGGGCAAGACUCCGGAUUUCAAUGGACAACAUGAGAAACUGAAAGAUGAUUGGCCAGAAUUUGUGAGGCAAAAGCAAUCAGAGCAUUUCAAGGAAAUAUCGAAAAAAAAUAAGGAUAAUGCGAGUAAGAAAAAGUUCCAUCAUAUUAUGGGGCCAGGAGGAUACCGCCUUUCGGAGCCUAGGUGGCAGAAGAUGGAGGAGGACCUGAGGGUGCGAGGAAUCCCUCUAGGUACAGAGGGAUGGGACCCAAGGGCCAAAAGCUGGUGGUACGGGCAUGGGGGAUCGCUAGACCCGGAGACAGGGGUGUGUGUUCACCGGCAGAGACAGUUUGCUCCCACCCAAGCCCUUAUUGACGCAAUGACCCAAGCUCAAGAGGGCUUGAUCAAGUUCAAUAGAGAGAAAGACGCACUGACAACAGCCCUCGGGAAUGAUGAACACGGAGGACGUGUACAAGGCAAAGGCAAAGUUCCGUGGAAAGUAGGGUUUUCCCAGGACAAUGACCCGUACUGUUACAGAAGCCGUAAGAGAAAGACGGACCGGGAUGCAGAUCUUAUGACGAAGUUUGCAUCGGAACUCCAUGAGUUGAAAUAG